RNAcentral lists this ribosomal RNA (500 nucleotides) under uncultured bacterium. RNAcentral's name for it is "partial 16S ribosomal RNA". It matches the Rfam family "Bacterial small subunit ribosomal RNA", at positions 30 to 523 of the family's 1533-position model. The record is from RNAcentral.
AUUGAACGCUGGCGGAAUGCUUUACACAUGCAAGUCGAACGGCAGCACGGACUUCGGUCUGGUGGCGAGUGGCGAACGGGUGAGUAAUGUAUCGGAACGUGCCCAGUCGUGGGGGAUAACGUAGUGAAAAUUACGCUAAUACCGCAUACGAUCUAUGGAUGAAAGCGGGGGAUCGCAAGACCUCGCGCGAUUGGAGCGGCCGAUAUCAGAUUAGGUAGUUGGUGGGGUAAAGGCCCACCAAGCCAACGAUCUGUAGCUGGUCUGAGAGGACGACCAGCCAUACAGGAACUGGGACACGGUCCAGACUCUGACGGGGGGCAGCAGUGGGGAAUUUUGGACAAUGGGCGAGUGCCUGAUCCAGCAAUUCGGCGUGCAGAAUGAAGGCCCACGGGUUGUAAACUGCUUUUGUACAUAACGAAAAGAUUUCUACUAAUACUAGGAGCUCAUGACGGUACUGUAAGAAUAAGCACCGGCUAACUACGUGCCAGCCGCCGCCGUAA